GGCAGCGAGCAGCCGGCGCCCUUUCUUCUUGAUCGGCUCCUCCUCGCUGCCCGAGCCUCCUUCGAGAGAUUUUACACAGACAACAGCACCAAACCUCAGAAAUGAUUUCACACUUUAAAGCGUGAACCGACGAUGAAUGACUAUUGCCUGAUAGCAAAGAUCGGCGAAGGGACGUUUUCAGAGGUCUGGAAAGCACAAAGCUUAAAAGAUGGGACCUACUACGCCUGUAAAAAGAUGAAACAGUAUUUCGAAAGCUUAGAGGAAGUGAACAAUCUACGUGAAAUUCAAGCUAUGCGCAGACUGAGCUUACAUCCUAAUAUUCUUCAGCUACAUGAUGUGGCUUUUGAUAAAAAAUAUGGGUCUCUUGCUCUAAUAUGCGAACUCAUGGACAUGAAUAUCUAUGAAUUGAUACAAGGGCGAAGGCAUCCUUUACCUGAAAGUAAAAUAAAGAAUUAUAUGUAUCAGCUAUGCAAGUCCCUUGAUUACAUGCACAGAAAUGGAAUUUUUCAUCGAGAUGUAAAACCUGAAAAUAUCUUAAUUAAGCAAAACUUGCUGAAGUUGGCAGAUUUUGGUUCCUGCAGGAGUAUGUUCUCAAAGCAGCCGUAUACAGAAUAUAUUUCCACCCGAUGGUAUCGAGCCCCAGAAUGCCUACUUACUGAUGGGUACUACAGCUUCAAAAUGGACAUCUGGAGCACAGGCUGUGUUUUCUUUGAAAUAACCAGUCUACAGCCAUUAUUUCCUGGUUCUAAUGAAGUUGAUCAAAUUGCAAAAAUCCAUGAAGUUGUUGGUACUCCAAAAUCUGAAACUCUGAGAAAGUUCAAACAAACACGAGCUAUGAGUUUUAACUUUCCAAAAAAGAAGGGAACAGGAAUAUCAUGUCUCAUUCCUCACACUCGUUCUGAAACUAUUUCAUUGAUGCAUGCAAUGAUGGAGUAUGACCCUGAAGAACGAAUUACUGCUAAGCAUGCAUUGCAGCAUCCAUAUUUUCAUGAUCUGAGAUUGGCAGAAAGACAAACCAAUAUUGUACAUCGUUCAGUUAAAUGCUUAGAAGGAAAUGCAAACAAUUUAAGUCCAAGUGUGGUUCAUAAUCUAUGGAGAAUCCAUAAGGGACGGAAACGGGGUAUCCCUAUACGACGUCAAGUCCCUGUGGAACUGCCAAAGCUGAACGUGCCAGCCGCAACAAAGCAUGCUGGUUAUCCCAAUCGGAUUUUAAAGCCAGUUUUUCCAAAAGUAUCAAUGCAUAAAACUGGAACUCUACCUCAAGUCUCAUCUGUACAGUAUCUUGGAAAAAAUAAGUGCUUUUGUGGAGAGGGAAGGAGAGGCAUAGCAAUGCAAGGCUGGAACAAGGUUAUUUAUCAAGUAAAACUUUUAUGGCUUGAAUUGAAAGAGGCGAGAGAUAAUAAAACUAAAGGAAAGCUGUAGCAAAAUUAUCCAGAUUAUUGGGAAAGAUCCUCAUUUUCAAGUACCUUCUCAUUACAAUCUUCUUCGGCUCUGCAAUUCUUUGAGAUAUCUGCUUUCUUUGUGAACUUUCAUCAGAGCACCAUUGGUGACCCUCCUUCUCAAGACCAUUUAACCCUCAUAUGCUUUCUGCCUUUCAUUUGGUCUUUCCUUUGAGACACUCCUUUAACACUGCUUUAUGAUGUCAUUUGGUUGUCAUUUUUUUUUGUAAUACUUUGUAUGUUUUACAUCAUUUUAGUUCCCUUAUAAAUAUACUGUUGCUGUAGAGAAAGAAAAUAAAGUAAGCACAAAAAUAUUAAGGGAUAUCAGUCAAGAGUAAUGAGGAUAUUUUAAAAAUUGGUGGUUAUAUUGUAAAUGAAAAUGAGGAAAUAACUAAAUAAUUCCUGUGUGUUUUCCCAAUGGAAGAAAAUCAUAUUCCAUGAAAAUCAAAAGCUCGGUUUACACUAACUUGAACAAGUACACUGUACCAACAAAAAUACUAAUAACCACUAACAAAUCCUCAGGAACUGAUGGUUCCAUCCUAGGGUUUGAAAGGAAGUAAGCAAGGAAGCUAGAUGAUUGAGCUGUAUUCUCCUAUUCAGCAAUUGUCCCUUUGGACUGGAAAAUUAUAAGCAUAACUCUUAUAUAAGGACAAUGAAAGAGAAACCAGAGAAAUAGUCACUUGUUAAUCUAGCAUCUGUUAUAAAGUUAUUGUUCAGAGGAAUUUGAGAUAUUUUGAAUGAGCCAACUUGGAUCUGAUAUGGGUAGAUCAUGUCUUAAAAUCCUAAUUUAAGUUUUCAAUAAGCAGCCAAGCAGAAUAUCCGUAGAUAUAACUUUUGGAAGGUCUUGAAGGAAUUCAGUAAUAUUUCACUUUAUAAAGCUUAUAAAGUUAAAUCAAAUUUUAUGUUACUGAAUUGGUUAAAAUAUUGGAAAAAUAAUAGAACUAUAUAGAAUGGAUAAUAUUAGAGAUAGAGGUUACUAGCUCGUUGUCAUUUCUGGCCACUUUAUUCUCAAUCAUCUGUUUUAGUAUAAAUGUUUAGCCUCUUCUUCCUUUUAUGAUUGUUAUCAAUUUGACUCAUUUAAUAUUAAUAAAUUCUGCAUACCUACCACUAAAAGUUGUAAAAAUUCAUGUUUGAUUGAAACUAUGAGGGCGGCAUGGUAACAUAGCAAUUAGUGUAAUGCAGUUACAGCUUGAGUGACACAGGUUCAAUUCCUGCAGCUGUCUGUAAGGAGUUAGUAUGUUCUCCUCAUGUCCUCUGGGCAUGCCGGUUUCCUCCCACACUCCAAAGGUUAAUUGGUCACAUGGUUAUAAUUAGUGCAGGCUUGUUGGGCCAGAAUGGCCUGUUACUGUGCUGUAUCUCUUAAGUUUAAAAUAAAGUUGGUGAGUAUCUUAUAUUGAUGACCUUUAAUUUUGCUGUUCUUCACAAGUGGAAUCAAAUUCAAUCAAAUUAUUCAUGAUUUUAAAUACCCAAAGAGUAGAGUUAAUGGUACAUAAAUCUAAUUGGCAGGAAACUAUUAGUUGUGUCUGACAGUAUUUAUGCUGAGCAUUCAGCUAUAUAUUUGUUCUCGAUCCUGAUAACAUAAAAGUAAUGCUUUGAAACUUGCUGAUGAUGCAGACUUUGUCACUCAAGUACUGUUAAUGGAAACAUAAGACUAUAAAAUAUUUCAAAAGAUCUUGAUAGAUAUAAGAGAAUGGACAAAAAAGUGACAAAUACAUUUCAAUACAGAUUAACUGCUAGUACAACAAUCUUAGACCCAAAAUGGAAUAGAACCUAGGAACAGUGGAGUUCUAAAGAUGCUUAGAUUACAAAAAAUGUUGCAUUUUGGUGCAGAAAUGGUUAAUUGAAUUAACCAUUUAACCAAUUAAAAGGUUAAUUGAACUAGAACAUAAAAGGGUGGAAGUUUUGUGAUAUCUGGAUAAUGCUUUAGUUGCAAAACAUCCAGAAUACAUAAAUAGUCAAAUCACAACACUUUGGAUUCCAGUUAAUUGCAAUACAUUGGGACCAGUGUAUUUUGGCCUAAUUAAGUGGUUGCCCCAAUUCGCUAGCUAAGUUUCAUGGAAAUGGUUAAAAAAACAUAAAAAAGACAAAUUACCAUUUAACUGAGUAACAAAUUAUGCACUUAAAUGAAACACAGAACAAAUUAGUACUCUAUCAAUACUACUAUAGUAGUAUAAAACUGUAUUAGUUUCUAAUAGUUGUUGAUGGAGGAGGUCAUCCAGUGUAUGCUGCCGUGUUCUUUUGAUUAACUGUAGAGGAACAAGGGUAAAUUUUUUCAGCUAGUGUCAAAUCUUUUCAUGGCACCUUGGCAAAGGUCUGUAAUUUUUAAAGUCAAAAAAUAAAAUGAUCAAAAAUCACAGCUAUUUGAAUCAGCAUCAUCAGCCCAAACAGAAAACAUAACACAAGCAUACACAACUAAUGCUAUUAGAGAAUUGCUCACUCUAAGCAUGAUGUAGUGUCUAACAGCCACACAAGUGCAUGUGACCCUUCAUCAGAACUGGGAAAGGAAGAAAACAAAUUAGUUUACCGAAAUUAUGGGGCUCAGACCAUUAAUUAUUUCACUUUGUUUUUAUUUCAGGGUCUUAGCAUUUGCAGUUUUGUUUUGAAUCUCCAUUUAAUCAGGUGCUAAUUAAUCAUAUGAUUUAACAGGGGAAUUUUCUCCACUGAUGAAAAGCCAAGUCUAAAUUUCAACUAAAUUUCAAUUUGUAUAUCUGUGAAGUUACAAUGUAUAUAUUUUUUAUAAGCUUGACUGAUAAUGAGAAAUUAAUAUUUAUAAUACUCCUUGUUAGUUUUAUGAGACCAACUGAAAUCUUAACUUCUCCAGGAAUGGAUUUAUCAACUUUCUUUUCAGCUUUUUUACUUUUCUGUUAUUAGAGGAAAUAGUUCAAAAGGGAUGGGUUAAGUUGAAAUGCCCUAAGAUCCGGGUAUGUUUUAGGUAAAGCCAUCAAAAACUUUUAUGCAUAUACAAACAUGGAAGGAGUAUUACGUUUGUUAAUUAAUCACUUUUCUUUCAUCUCUCCACCACCUCAAAAUAAAAGGAGGGCCCAUUCAAUCUUUCUACUCUUCAACAAGAGAUUUUGUCAGUCCGGAAGAGCACUGAUGAUCAGAGAUAAUUUGGUUUGGAUUUCCAGUAUGAAAGGCACUUCUAGAGAUGUGGAUACUAUAGAGAGAGUGCAGAGGAGAUAUACAAGGAUGUUGUCUGGAUGGAGAGUGUGGCUUAUGGUAAUACGUUGAGUGAACUUGGCCUUUUCUCCUUGGAGCGACAGAAGAGAAAUGACCUUUUGGAGGUGUUUAAGCUGAUGAGAGGUCCCGAGCUCCGAUUUUGAAGAACUUUCAAGGAAAAGAAAAAACCACAGGUCUAUAAGUUGAACCUGUCCUGCAGAAAAGCCCACAAGGAGCGAGACACUUUCGGCUGUAGCUGUCAGAUGAUUGAAAUCAUGGCAGGUGAUAAAAAUGGCAACAGUUAUAACAUAUUGCAAACCGACUCAAUAAAACAGCACUGAAAGCAAAUAUAAAUAAUUCCUUGGAGGACAGACAACACUAGAAAUGUACACAUGAUCCUUUUCUGAUGUGACAAGACUGAUGGAACGCAGUCGUCUCUUCUAUCAGAAUGAAAAGUGUAUUUCCCAUAUUAUAGCAAAAUGGAUUUUAACUUUAUACUCAUCUUAUAAUAAUUUGGUUUGUACCUCACUACAGCAUGGCCUCAUCAUUUCUCAGAAAUAUCAACCUUAAUUACGGUUCAUGCCAAGAUCCAGGUACAGCACUAGCAUUGAACCCAUAUUAGUAAAAACAAGAACAUCUACAAAGUGAACAGCUCAGUCACAUUUCAUACUAAAGACCAGUAUGAAGUUCAAGACAAAAGAAAAUCUGCAGAUACUGGAAAUCCAAACACACACAAAAUGCUGGAGGAACUCAGGUCAGGCAGCAUCUAUGAAAAAAAGAGUACAGUAAAUAUUUCAGGUUGAGACCUUUCAUCAGGACUGAAGAUGAGGAGUCAAAGUAAGGUGGUGGGGGGAGUGGAGGGAAGUUCAAGAUAUUUGUAGCUGUCACCUGAACAAAAAGGCACAAGCCAAGAAAAGCAACUACAAAUGAUCAAAGCUGGCAUUGGAACAUAUUGUUACGCUGUUGCAGAAGACAAACUUUUUCAAAUAACAGAACCAAAUGCAAUAACAUUUUAUUUUGUAUGCGAACCUAAAUACUAACAAUGAUAUUGGAAUUAACUUGCUUGAAGGAAAUCAAAUUAAAAUAUUUUAAAUUAUAUGUUAAAAAUUGGGACAAAAGUAGUUCUUUACCAUCGGACAUUUUUCUCCAUUCUUUACAUACCUGUUAAAGUUAAAAUAGACAACUGGAUGAUAGUAAUUACAAUUUGCAUUUGCUUUACUUGCCAAGAAAUCAGAUUUAGCAAAAUAAAUCUAGAGGUCACUUUAAUAUUACAGCUUAGGGACAAAAUUUAUAUUUACAUUCAAUCAUAAAGGAGCAACCCAUGCUGCAGCAUAUAAAACAGGACUCAACUUCCAGCACCCUGUUCUGUUUGAGAUUCUAGAAUCUGUGCUUUUUAACAAUAAUGCUGCAAACAUGGUCAAAACUUUCUACCCGUCAAACAUCUUUAAAUGCAACACAACUACACGAGUUAUUUUUUAAUAUUACCAAAUUCAAUAAUAUAAUUCAAGCUCAAUUUUAAUCAAAAUAACUACUUGCUUAGAAGACACGCAAAACCUCAGCUGACAGGAUGAAUUUCUCAUUUGUUAUGACUCAAAGGGUAGCCAGUUGACUCAUCACAUCCAUGCUGGCUCUCAGAUUAAUACCAUCAGUCCAAUUUGCCCACUGUUUUUCCCCUGUAACACAUUCUCUCGCAUACACAUCUGCCCCAUCUUUAUUCUAUCACACACCUACACUAGGAGCAAUUAAUUAUAACCCUGCCGGUCAGAAUGUCUUUGAGAUGUGGGAAGAAACUGAAAACCCACACAACUACAGUGAGAAUGUACAAACUGCACAAAGGUAGCACCAACCUUGUGUAGCUGGAGCCAUGAAGCAGUAGCAUGACCUGUGGCAUUGCUCUGCUGUGCCAAACAGAAACAAAUGACUGAUUUAUAAUACAUUUAAAUAUUAGCCUCUGUAGAAUAUCAAAUAAAAUAAUAGCAUCCAUGAAUUCAAUCUAGAUGUGUUUAAUGAGUUUCCCUUGUCUUUCCAAGGUUCUAGUACAGAUACAUGAGUAUACAGUACAUGUAGUUUAGUUUGGAGAGCAAGCUACAACUUGAUGGAAAACUGCAAGUGUACAUGCCUCUGCUUUACUAUAAUAAAUAUCAUUAUCUAUUCUUGUACUUUAAGUACACCACAGUAGUUAAUUUAUUAUUGAUAGCAGCAGUUUGCAUAAUUAAAUUUAACCGAAGGUGAUUGUCAAGUGGUAAAAGUAUUAAGAUUAGAUUUACUUGUCACAUAUGCAUCGAAACAGAGUGAAAUGCAUCAUUUGCAUCAAUGACCCACACAUCCGAAGGUGACACCUGUGUGCUGGAGACAGCCAGCAGGCAUCACUUUGCUUCUAGCACCAACACAGCAUUUUCACAACUUGCUAACCCAAACGUCUUUGGAAUAUGGGGGAACCAGAACACCCAGAGGAAAUCCCUGCGGUCACACUGAGAACAUUAAAAAUUCCUUACAAAUUGAAUCUUGAUUUCUGAUUGCUGGUGCUGUAAUGGUGUUAUACCAACCACUUACACUACCAUUCCACAUAUGUUUCAACAGUAAAACUAUUCUGUGUCAUGCUGGUAAAGUCAUUACUCCAAUGUUAAAAAUACACUGAGAACUUGUUUAAUGUCUUAUUUUAAAACCUCUUUCUAAUGUUUUUGUGACUUUUUGUAAAUAUUUUUGAACUUGCAUUUCUGUACU
This is an RNA transcript of Hypanus sabinus (Atlantic stingray), 7322 nucleotides long. It is a transcript of the gene named MAPK/MAK/MRK overlapping kinase-like, with no coding region annotated. Lineage: Eukaryota; Metazoa; Chordata; Chondrichthyes; Myliobatiformes; Dasyatidae. The transcript is spliced from 16 exons. The record is from RefSeq and is a predicted model, not a curated record.